This 557-nucleotide ribosomal RNA is filed under the name Cladosporium sp. H1. RNAcentral describes it as "eukaryotic LSU rRNA". The stretch from base 202 to 355 matches the Rfam family "5.8S ribosomal RNA". Lineage: Eukaryota; Fungi; Ascomycota; Dothideomycetes; Cladosporiales; Cladosporiaceae. The record is from RNAcentral.
AAAAUGAACAAGGUCUCCGUAGGUGAACCUGCGGAGGGAUCAUUACAAGUGACCCCGGUCUAACCACCGGGAUGUUCAUAACCCUUUGUUGUCCGACUCUGUUGCCUCCGGGGCGACCCUGCCUUCGGGCGGGGGCUCCGGGUGGACACUUCAAACUCUUGCGUAACUUUGCAGUCUGAGUAAACUUAAUUAAUAAAUUAAAACUUUUAACAACGGAUCUCUUGGUUCUGGCAUCGAUGAAGAACGCAGCGAAAUGCGAUAAGUAAUGUGAAUUGCAGAAUUCAGUGAAUCAUCGAAUCUUUGAACGCACAUUGCGCCCCCUGGUAUUCCGGGGGGCAUGCCUGUUCGAGCGUCAUUUCACCACUCAAGCCUCGCUUGGUAUUGGGCAUCGCGGUCCGCCGCGUGCCUCAAAUCGACCGGCUGGGUCUUCUGUCCCCUAAGCGUUGUGGAAACUAUUCGCUAAAGGGUGUUCGGGAGGCUACGCCGUAAAACAACCCCAUUUCUAAGGUUGACCUCGGAUCAGGUAGGGAUACCCGCUGAACUUAAGCAUAUCAAAG